RNAcentral lists this ribosomal RNA (792 nucleotides) under uncultured Thelephoraceae. RNAcentral describes it as "eukaryotic LSU rRNA". The stretch from base 211 to 365 matches the Rfam family "5.8S ribosomal RNA". The record is from RNAcentral. Lineage: Eukaryota; Fungi; Basidiomycota; Agaricomycetes; Thelephorales; Thelephoraceae.
AGGAUCAUUACCGAACUGUCGACAAGAGUUGUUGCUGGUCCUCAAACGGGGGCAUGUGCACGCUCUGUUAGCACAUCCACUCACACCCUGUGCACCCUCUGUAGUUCUAUGGUUGGGGGGCCCUGUCCUCCUGCCGUGGUCCUGCAUCUUUACACACACGCUGUAACAAAGUCUUAUGGAAUGCAUGCCGCGUCUAACGCAAUACAAUACAACUUUCAGCAACGGAUCUCUUGGCUCUCGCAUCGAUGAAGAACGCAGCGAAAUGCGAUAAGUAAUGUGAAUUGCAGAAUUCAGUGAAUCAUCGAAUCUUUGAACGCACCUUGCGCCCUUUGGCCAUUCCAAAGGGCAUGCCUGUUUGAGUAUCAUGAACACCUCAACUCCUCAUGGUUUUCCGUGAUGAGCUUGGACUUUGGGGGUUUUGCUGGCCCUACGGUCGGCUCCUCUAAAAUGAAUCAGCUUGCCAGUGUUUGGUGGGCAUCACAGGUGUGAUAACUAUCUACGCUUGUGGUUUUCCACCAGGUAACCUUCAGCAGUGGAGGUUCACUGGAGCUCACAGAUGUCUCUCCUCGGUGAGGACGGCCCUUUGAAUGUUUGAUCUCAAAUCAGGUAGGACUACCCGCUGAACUUAAGCAUAUCAAUAAGCGGAGGAAAAGAAACUAACAAGGAUUCCCCUAGUAACUGCGAGUGAAGCGGGAAGAGCUCAAAUUUAAAAUCUGGCGUGCCUCUGGUCGUCCGAGUUGUAGUCUGGAGAAGUGUUUUCCGUGUUGGACCGUGUACAAGUCCCUUGGAACA